AACGAACGCUGGCGGCAUGCCUAACACAUGCAAGUCGAACGCCCUCUUCGGAGGGAGUGGCGCACGGGUGCGUAACGCGUGGGAACCUGCCCUUAGGUUCGGAAUAACUCAGAGAAAUUUGAGCUAAUACCGGAUAAUGUCUUCGGACCAAAGAUUUAUCGCCUUUGGAUGGGCCCGCGUUGGAUUAGCUAGUUGGUGGGGUAAAGGCCUACCAAGGCGACGAUCCAUAGCUGGUCUGAGAGGAUGAUCAGCCACACUGGGACUGAGACACGGCCCAGACUCCUACGGGAGGCAGCAGUGGGGAAUAUUGGACAAUGGGCGAAAGCCUGAUCCAGCAAUGCCGCGUGAGUGAUGAAGGCCUUAGGGUUGUAAAGCUCUUUUACUGGGGGAUGAUAAUGACAGUACCCAGAGAAUAAAGCUCCGGCUAAACUCCGUGCCAGCAGCCGCGGUAAAU
Molecule: ribosomal RNA, 454 nt
Filed under: uncultured bacterium
Lineage: Bacteria
Description: bacterial SSU rRNA
Rfam family: Bacterial small subunit ribosomal RNA
Source: RNAcentral